AAGAAUCAUAUAAAAGCAGCAAUGAGGUUAAAACUAACAAAGUUCAAAAAAACACAAUCCUACCAUUGCAAAUCCAAUAGAAUGACUAUCACGAAGUGAACCAUAAUGAAAAUAAUUAAACUAAAAAACCAUAGUUAGUCCAUGUUUUAUUAGUGUUACGUAUUCAGUAGGCAAGUAUAACAGUGCAGUUCAUCACAAUGUGUCGUGAUGUUGGGGUGUAAAGUUAU
This 227-nucleotide unclassified non-coding RNA is filed under the name Hevea brasiliensis (rubber tree). Lineage: Eukaryota; Viridiplantae; Streptophyta; Magnoliopsida; Malpighiales; Euphorbiaceae. The record is from RNAcentral.